RNAcentral lists this long non-coding RNA (31869 nucleotides) under Ananas comosus (pineapple). RNAcentral's name for it is "long non-coding RNA (ACOM_LNC007956)". The record is from RNAcentral. Lineage: Eukaryota; Viridiplantae; Streptophyta; Magnoliopsida; Poales; Bromeliaceae.
ACAAUUCCUUACAUAUUAUUUUAUAUUUCCAAUAAUAUAAUUUUAUAUUUUCAGCAAUGAAAACGACAACAAUCCUAACCAAUUCCUUAGAGUGCGUUUGGUUCGCGUUAUGUAAAAUUACAGAUUAUUUCGACAUAUCUAGAUAUUUUGGAUUCUGACUGUAUUAGCGCGUUUGAUUUGAUGCAGUAAUGUAAUACUGGAUUACAGUAUAUAUAGCAUUACUGUUUGGUCAGUUUAUAAAAUUUAGUAAUAAUAAUAUAUCCUAAAAUUGCCUUUUCAUAUUUGGCAAAUUUUUUUAUUAUUGAAUAAUAAUAAUUUUUGUACUAAAUUUUAUUUUAAAUAAUAUAAAUUCAGUAAUGAAAAUGGCAACAAUCCUAAUCAAAUCCUUAAAUUAAUUAAUCGGUUGGGAAACGAAAAUCGUUGCAACGGCCGUUUCCCUAUGUGGUAGGUGCGCGCGAAAGAGGGCGAGGUGAGAAAUAGAAAUUAGUUUAGAAAAAAAAAAUAGAAAAAUAUAAGUAAAUCAACAACAAAUUAAAUUUCGUAGAAAUUAGGGGUAAAAAUAAAGGCAAAGAAAGGGACCGCGCAAUGAACUCCACCCCUCGUUCAAAGCAAGUAGAACAAUUCAAUCCCCUCCACCACGAAAAAUCCCCAAAUUCUCCCUCUUCUUCGAACCCCAACCCUUAGCCUAAUCCCCAGUUUCUCCCUUUUUGUGCGAUUUUUGUAUCAUCUCGAUCGCAAAGGUGAGUCUCUUUUCUCUGUUUCCGAUUCGUCGUGCCGUUAAGGUGCUCGACAAAAGGUUUCAGAGAGUUAUUAGCGCAUAAAGCGUUGAUUUUUAAUGGUUCUGUUAACUGGUGUGUUUCUGUUACCAUUUUUGUUCCAUUUAAUCCUUAUUUAUGGAUUCAGUGUUCAGUUUCAAUCGGUUAUUUGAUGCUUUAAGUGAUCAUAUUGAUCAUAUUGUUCGUUCCCUUUUUGAUCUAUUCCUUAUUUGGAAUUGGAUGGGUAGUUGUUUCUCCCCUAUUUUCUAAGUUAAUUUUUAAGUUAUUAUAUUUAUUUCUUCUCAGGAUCGGAGGCUAAAGGAACUCUAAGAGGUGUUAUUGUGGAUCAGAUAUAUCUAAAAAAGACCUCUGUUUGGUGAAUAAAAUGGCAAAAGUGUUGCAGCAUCAGGACUCUAAUGCAUCAUAUUGGAAGAGCUUUCAAGGUUGUACAUGGGGCUUGCUUCAAUUCUUCGACUUCCAACAACGUUUACAUGUUCGACGGAUGCUUUCGAACAGGCGACAUGCUGAUGAAAAAUACUCUGGAGGUAACUAUUGACCUUUUACCAUGAUUCUUUUUUUAAAAAAUUUUGAUUUUUCGUUAUAUUGGCACCUACUCGGGUCUUCAAUUUUGGUGAAAUUUGUGUUUGUUUGGUAGAUAACUGGGUUCUUGUUUCUCUCCAUAGGAGCUUAGCUAAUUUUAGCUCUUUACAUGAAAAUUCGGAGCAAAGAAACACAAAAUAUGAAUAAUAUUUUAAGGAAUUCAAAAUAUUGUUCUGAAGAAAAGAAUAAGCUGUAUGACCUUGUUUUUCUUUUUCUUUUAACUUUUCUCAGUAUAAAUUAAGUUACAUCACCGGUAGCAGCUUUUGAAGGUACUAGUAUAUUGAUCGUAAUUUCCGCUGCAGGAACAAAGCUUUCGGGGUCAUAUGUUUCUCUUACUGGCAAAGAUCAUGGCGACAUGGAUGAUGAAACAAAGUUCAAAGUAAGUUUAGUUAAUAUACUUCUUUAGCAUGCUUUGCAGUUUUGCUUUGAAUUGGAGUUGCUUCGUCGGUAUCAUAUUUGUGGUGUCGAGAAAUUUAGAUUUUCCCUGAAAUACUUGUGUGUUAUUCAUUGCACUUGUAUUGCUAUAUGCUCUUCUCUGGCCCUCAGGACUAAUUUCAGCGAGCCUUCAUUACAAUUAGUACAGUGGAUGUUAUAAUGUUUUAAAUUCCUCCAGGACUCGUUUACCUAUCAUAAAUUUGACAGAAACUAGUUUUCGGAACAUCUGUUUUUCUGGGGGGCGCAAAGUGUACUUAAUUUACCAAGAAUUUUCAGUUUCAUUGGGAGUGUAACAGAUCCUGUAUUUUAUGUAGCAACUUAUUUGACCUUUUCACUUGAUCAUGGACAGAUAUGGAAAUUGAAUGAUUGGAAUGUAUUUAAAUGAGGAAGGGUAAUGGACUUAUAAGCAUACCUAAAUGUAUAGCUGGCAAAAGAGGAAACUCUGCAGUUAUUUAUGUAAUCUAAGUUUUUUCUUGAAAUCAAAGUUCCUCAUUUGCAUGUGACAGUCUCAUUGGGCUAUCCUGCUUUUCCUUUUGGAUGUUCUGUACAUCACGUGCUAAUAAAAAUUGCCAGUUGUCUUAAUUAAUCAGCUUUCAAAAAAAGAAAAAGAAAAAGUUGUCUUAAUUAGUUGAUACAUUAAAAGCACUUCAACUCUGAUCAAAACUUUUUAACAUAAUAAAAUUUACUUUAUGGAUUAAUCGCUUGAUGUGCUCUCAUAUUGGCUCUAAUCCGUUUAUGGUUGUCCUUUUGGUUUCAGAUGAUAAAUAAAGGCAAUUACUUAAAGGGAAAUUCUUACAAGGCUCGCAUGAGGGCUUUAAUCUCUAAAAAGAUCCACAGGAAGAAAAAAAAUAUGCUCCCUGCAGGGCCGCGACUGCUGCGUACAGUUUCCAUUCAUCAUUGGGAGUGCGAUGACUAUGUUCUCCCCAAUCAAACAGUUUCUGAUAGAAGUGCUUCUACAAUUGAUUCUACUUCAUGCAAAACUUGUUCUUCUACAUGUUGUCAACACUCUCCGCUAUUGACCAAAGAUAUACUAGUCGAUUACUCAAAAGAAAAAUCAGCAGAAGGUUUAUCGAAGCAAAAGGAAAUGGAUUCUGAAGUUGAAAUAGAUUGUGUGUUAAAAUCAAAAGAUUUUCUCGAUGCGGAGGAGGAGCUCUUAAAUACACAUGGGGAAUUCUUUCCAGAAGUUUUUGCAGAUUCAGGACUUCAUUGGGAAAAUUAUUUAGGUUUUCCUUCUCCUCUCAAAGAAAAAGGCUUAGCAAGAUCUAGCUCAUUCCCAAGAGGCAGAACAAAUCAAAGGUCGUCAAAAGCUAAACAUAAGUCCUCAACUCAAUAUACCAUGAAAAGUGAGCCGAUUUCCGAGCAUUCACCAGAUUCUCCUCAUGAAUCUAUAAUUCAGAGGGAACCUAGAACUUUUGUUGAUCACGUUAAUGACCUCAAACAGAUGAUAAAGGAUGUCUUUGAUGCAAAAAGGAAGGUGGAGCAUCGAAUCUCAAUGGAUGGGGUUUUGGAUAGAGUUCCUUAUGGCCAAAAGGUUUCUGAUGACGAGAUUAAACCAAAGCUGUUUCGAUCUACCUCAGCAAGAUCAUAUAGAGAAACUUCAAGAGAUAGGUUUGAAAUACCUGCUAAUAGGAAUCCACAUGAAAGAAUGAGUAGGUCUCGCUCUCUUGCCGAAUCUGUGGAUAAGUACUCUCACUUGCUUGCAUCUGCUUCGCACAAAGAAGGUAACAAAUUACGUGACAGAUCAAUUUCAAACAAAGAAGGUUUUUCCCAGGACCUGAGGACUCGAAAUGCUUUUCAAAGAAUUGUUUCUACUCCUGAGUAUAGGUCAUAUCAUUUAAGUAUGGAUAUGGAUGCUGACAAUGAAGUACUUCAUGAAGCUUUAUCAUUGAAUAUCUCAACCACAAGUGUUUUGGAUGAGCGACAAGCAAUAGAUGAAGAUGCUACCGAGACAGUAGAAAAUGAGAAGAACAAUACAUGGGAGGUUUUCGAUUUGACCGAAGAGAAGGUGAUUGAUGUUCCUUCUACUGAUCAGGAGACCGAAGUUCUGGAACAGGGAGUGCUAAAUUUUGAUUAUGAGAAGAAUGAUAUUUGUGAGGUUUCAGAUUCAGUAAAUGAAGGCACGAGUAGUGCUCCUUGCAAUGAGCAGGAAAUUGAAAUUAAACUGGACUCAAACUUUGAUCCGAUGAAGCCGAGCCCAACAUCUGUUCUUGAAUUGAGCCCUUCAGACGAUUCUGUUAGUCCUGUGAAAUAUAAAAUUUUGGAAGGUAAUGUUUCUAAACAUAAAUGGCUUUGUAGAGAUAUUAAGUAUACCACCAUUAUAAAAACUGUAUGCAAUUUCAGUUUAUUACAACUAAUUCUUAUGUAAUUAUUCUAAGUGCAAGAUAUAGGUUGCCUUACUACUUUUAUGCUUUUUUAUCUCCAUCCUACUAUAUGAAUCUAUGAUAUCAGAUUGUUAUGGCGGUACGGAGAUGUACAUAGUUUUACUACGAACAUCAAACUUGACUUGUUUUUCUUUUCCUACUUAUAAGAACUGAAUCGCAUCUUUUAAUUGUGUGCUUUUUUCAACCAGAUUCAGACGUAAAUUGUAGAAGCCUUGAUUGCAAUGAGCUGGCUUCUUCAACAAAUUCAAAACUGUCGGACUUUGAAGCACCUUCUUGGGUGGAAACUACUGAACCAACUUGUGAUACUACACAGCAAAAGAACCCUGUUUAUUUCGAAGCACUUAAGAUUGGGCUGGAUCAAAUGAACAGGACUGAGUUCCAUUAUCUAAAACGUGUUCUUGAAAAGUAUUGCUUCAGCAGUGAAGAGUCUUUUGAAACUUGGUACUCUCUCAACCAACACGAUGCAGAUAUUUCAGCAUUCAUCUCCAAUAAUAUUUCUAUUGACGAAGAGCUUUUGGUUGAUCUCAUAAACGAAGCAUCAUACCAAAUUCACGAAAAACAUUCAACUCAGAACCUUUCUUUCUCUCCUGUUGCUUUUCGUCCUAGACGGAAGCCUGCGGGGUACCAUCUCCUUAAUGAGUUGUGGGCACGAAUUAGUUCGCAUCUUGAGCCACAAGUGAAGUCUAAUUACAUGCUUGAAAGUGUCGUGGCUCAGGACUUUGCAAAAAAUGACGGAUGGUUGGACCUUCAAUUGGAUGCUGAGGGCGUGGGGGUGGAAUUGGAAGGUGUCAUAUUGGAUGAUUUAAUCAAUCAGUUAAUUCUCGAUGUUGAUGAAUUCGCCCUUUCUCAGUUGAUAUACUCCGAGUAAGUACUCUACUAAGACACAUAUACAAUACACAAUUCUUUUCCACUCAAUUUUUUUGUAGUGCUCUGUAGUAUAAGCAAUGCUAUCAUUUACAUUCGUUCUGUAUAGACACCAACAAAUCAACACCUAAGGCAUUGUAGUAAUGUUGUAUAUAAGGUAAUGAAUAAAAGAGAAGAUGUAGUAGAUAGGUUGUGGUCAACCAAAGGUGUCUGUUGAGAUCUUGUGGCCCCUUUUUUCUCUGUAGUUGUUGGUGAGAUUUUUCUUAGAGGAGUUCUUGUAUAAGCAAUUAUUUUGGUGAAUAUAGUGAACUAAUAAUGUUUUGCCGCUUGAAUCCUUAAUUUGUUAUUUCUUUAGUUUCCUGUGUUGAUAGAGGUUGUCAGAUGGUUUGAUUGGUUUGGAUAUUUGGUGUGUCUUGUUCUUUUUUAUCAACUGUGGAGAUGCUGAUCUUGUUCUAAACUAUUCUGCUAAAAGCCACAACAACAAUGGUACAAUAUAUAUUCAGAUCACCAAUAAUUACAGCAAGAACAAAACCCACCUUUGAAAUGAUGAAACCUCUUGUUGUCUCUCACCACAAUAUCCCUCCCCACAACUUUCGACACCAGCUUCGCCGCAUUAUGGCAAUCCCUGCACAUCCUAAUGUUCUUAAAAACCCCAAUCUUUGUCCCUUUGCUGGUCUUUAAAAGCCCAAAUGCUAUGGCUUGCUUCUCACUGUGACACCUCAACACCUCAACCUUCUCUUCCUCCUCCAACUCAUGAAGCACUGAACUUGUAUCUGGAACAUAACCUAUUCUUCGUAUCUUUUCCUCCAAAACAUUCCACAUUUUCCGAAUCUCAGUCGACUCAGGAACCCUAGAAUCACCUGCGACAAAGCUAUAAACAUUACCACCAAUGUCAAUCCAGCUGCAACCUGGGUCUUUGAAGAGGCCAUUUUCCUUAAUUCUCUUUCUAAUUCUUCUUACAUCAUCCCACCUCCCAAAACCUGCAUAUAGAUUAGAAGCCAAAACAUAGUGUUCUGUUUUGCUAGGCUCUAACUCCAUCAGCUUCUCCGCAACUUUCUCUCCCAAGUUUAUGUCUCCAUGAAUUCUACAUGCACAAAGUAGUGUACUCCACAUUUUUCCGUCUGGCUCUUGGGGCAUUUCUUCGAUCAGUUUUACUGCAUCGGCCAAUCGACCGGCUCUACCAAGCAUGUCGGCUACGCACGCAUAGUGCUCUAAUUUUGGCUCCAACCCAUGAUUGGUUUUCAUCUCCUCGAAGUAAUUCAAUCCUUUUUCAACCAUUCCAGCAUGGCUGCAUGCCAUUAAUAAACCGACAUAUGUAAACUCAUCGGGCUUCAUCCCCUCUCUCUGCAUCUCAUUAUAUAGUUUGAUGGCUUCGUCGGCGUACCCAUUAACCCCGUAUCCUGUGAUCAUCACGGUCCACAAAACCACGUCUUUGUUUUGCAACCUGUCGAAGAAACUUCUAGCUUGUUCGACAUACCCACACUUUGCGUACAUGUCUAUGAUCGAGCUACCGAUAAAUGGGUCUUCAGUGAACUCCGCCUUCAAUGCGAAACAAUGAGCCUCUUUCCCUAAUCGGACAGCCGACAACUGAGUGCAAGCCAUGAAUGCGCUUGUCGUGGCAAUAAUCGAAGGACGGUUACUACUAAUUAGCAUUUUGCGGAAGAGAUUAAGGGAUUCCUCGGGCAACCCAUUCUGAGCAUACCCAGCAAUCAUAGCAUUCCAAGAAACCAAAUCCUUCUCCUCCGUUUCAUCGUAUAAUAACCUUGCAGUAGAUUCUUUUCCACAUUGUAUGUAAAGAGAUAGAAGAGAGAUGUUAAUGAAUGAAUCUUUCUCCAAACCAUUCCUUAAAACGAACCCAUGAGUCGAUUUCCCAUAUCGGAGAUGCUUCAUAUUAGCACAAGCUAAAAGCAAGCUGCCGAUAGUAAACCAAUCAGCUUCAAACCCUAAAGAAGACAUCUGAAGGAAUAGAUCUACUGCGAUGUUAGGAUCGCCAUUUUGGGCGUGACCGCCGAUUAGGGCAUUCCAUAAGCUCACGGUCUUAAUCUCAGUUCCAUUGAAUACGUCAUUGGCAUAAUCGAGCGACCCACACUUUGCGUAUGCUGCGAUUAGGGCAUUCGGUACCAACUCGUUGAUCUCCAACUCAUUUCUAAUCACAAAACAAUGAAUUUCUUUCAAUUUCGAAAGCUCUGAUCUGCUUGAAAAAGCCGGUAGGACAUUCAAGACCGUGACUUCAUUUGCAUUUAUUCCCUCCCCCGUUUGCAUUUCGCGCAAAAGAUUGAAUGUCUCAGCAAUAUCUCCAUUCCUCGCAUAGCCACCAAUCAUGGCAUUCCAAGAAACCACAUUUCGUCGAGCACUUUCAGAAAACAAGCACUCCGCGUCCGGUAAAUUACCGCAUUUCGCAUACAAAUCGAUCAACGCAUUGUUCACUCUCAGCUCAUGAUCCAAGUCCAAUUUCACUGAUAAUCCAUGAACCACCCUCCCCAUUUCAACCCAUCCUCCUACUGUGCACAUCGGAAGUACCGUCACCACCGUCGCAUCGUCCGGUCUCAUACCACCUUCGCCGAUCGCCAACAUCUCCCUAAACAAAUCAAAACCCUUAUGCAACAACCCAUUCUCAGAAAAAACGCAUAUCAUAGUAUUCCAAGAAACUAAAUUUCUGUCGGGCAUUUUGUCGAACACGCGAACCGCGUCGUCGACGGAACCGCACUUCCCGUACAUCGACAUCAACGAAUUGCUCACAAAAGUGUCCGCGCCCAACCCCAAUUUCACAGCUAAUCCAUGAACGGUUUCCCCAAGCCCCACAUCCAAAACCCCCGCGGAGGACUUUAACACGCAGGGCAGAGUAAAAGUAUCGGGCUUGAUAUCGGUGUCGGAGAUCAAUCGCACGAACACGUCGAGCGCUUCUCCAAAAAGCUCGUUUUUGGCGAGCCCGCUGAUCAUGGCGUUCCACUGGAACAGGUUCCGCCGCUCCAGGGCUUCGAAGACGCGGCGCGCGUCCGCGGCCGCGCCGCACGCGGCGUACAUGGUGAGGAGCCGCGUGGUGAGCACCGCGUUGCGCAGAAGCGCUUCCGAGGACGCGACGAGGCCGUGGACGCGGCGCCCCGCGUCGAGGUCCCGCGCCGCGGCGCAGGAUCGGAGGAGGCGGCCGAUGGCGUCCGCAUGCGACGCCGACGCCGCCGCCGCGUCGGGGCAGAGGAGGAGGAGUCGGAGGGCAUUUUCGACAUUUCCUUCGUCCGGGGCGGGGACUAGCUCUUUUGGGGAGGGUUUGGGGGACGUUUUGGUGGAGCGGAGGGAGAGGGUCGCCGCUGCGCCUGGGGUGGUUUUGGGGGUAGUUUUGGGGUAGGCGUAGCGUUGGGUGGGGGUGCGCUUCAGAAGAGGAGGGAGAGGGGAGGUGGAGAGUGUUGAAGCAGAAGCCAUUGUAGGAUAAGAACAGUUAUCUUCUUCAAAUUUUAUAAUUUUAUAUUUACGACGAUAAAUAAAAUAUUAAAAAAAAAACACUUUUUCUGAAGUAGCAAAAUAAACGAAAAAAAAAGCUUUUUUUCAAUUAAAAAAUUGGUGUUGGAUAAAUAGAGGCGUUAACGGGGCCAAAAAUUUCGUGAGCAUCGUUUCAAAUUAUUUGGGUUAGGAACGAUGCGAAUGAAUGUCGUGUGGCCCAUUCAACAGUUGCCCAUGAAAGGAAAAAUAAAAAUAAUAUCAUGUGUUUUCAGAGAGAGAGAGAGAGAGAGAGGGGCAAAAAUGAGGGUGACUGUUGGAUAGGUCACGCAGCAUCUAUCCUUAUCGUUUCGAAACUAAUAGUUUGGAAACGGUGCCCAAAAAAAUUGUCCAGUUCUUGGACUAUUCAUUUCACGAUAUACUUUUUGUUACACACUGUAGUCUUUAAAUAAUUAUUUCGUAUAUAUUAUAUAUUUAUUUUUGUUAUUAGGAAUUAAAACUAUAAAAUAACUUUUUAAUCUUGUGUUAUCAACAUUUGGAUUAUCAUUCAUCAAUGGUCAAAUUAAUCAUUUCUCAACAGAGCAAGAAAGAAAUUACUAGCUGGAUAGAAAAACUAUAUAUAUAUAUAUAUAUGUAAUAUAAAUUAUAUUUAAGAGUCAUCAUCUUGGGAGAAUGUUUACAUGAGAUAGUAACCUUAGAAAUAGAAAUGCGUAUUUAGAAAACAUAAGCCCCGUAAAUAGCUUAUAUAUAUUUAUAGAGCUUUAUAUCUUUCUCAUUUGCAGCAGCCAAAGGUGUCACAAUUGCAGUUUGGUCCACAUUUGCAGUUGGGUCCUCCACUCUCCAUCUCAAGCCCUUCAACAUGCCUGCGGAGUCGAAUUAGUCACGUAAAUAUCAAUUUUGACAGGGGUUUGUAAGUAAUUAAAAAUAAAUUGCAUGCACGUAAAAGAGUAUAUAUAUAUAUAUAGAGAGAGAGAGAGAGAGAGAGAGAGAGAGAGAGAGAGAGAGAGGUUUUGGUAGCAAAGCUCUCUCCUCCGCUGAACCCUGGGCGCAUGUUGCACCUGCAAUGUAAGUACGUAAUGAACAAAUUAAUUACUUAAUCAGCAUCUUUACAUAAACAUCCCUAUAGAUUGAAAAUAUCACAGUUUCCUCCCCCGCAGCAGCGGUUGCUGCAGCUGCAGCUCGAAUCAGCACAGCAAGAGCACUUCCCUCCACCGCAGGACAUUUUGUUUUCUGCGGUAUGGGGAUAAAAGAAUCUGUUGCUUAAUCUCUUCAUCGCACAAGCUUGAGUAGUAGUUGUGAUUUGUGAAGGGUUGUGCUCUCUAUUUAUAGAAGUAAUGAUAGUAACAAGAGAGAACCAAACUGAGUGCGUCACGUUCACGCACAUGCAACGACAAAAAUUUUGUAAGUAGCUCUUUUUUACGAGUUGGAUAUGUUCGAAAAAGAAAAGAAAAAAUUAAAGUAGCAUUUAGAUAAAGAGAUAUUCAUAUCAAUUACACUAGCAGUAAGCCAAUAAAUAAAAUAAAUAAUCAAUCAGAACGUAUUUCAAAGCAUUAGUGUUGAGGAAAUAUCUUUCUUUGAUUAUGUUGCUUAUGUUGGUCCCAUAGUGAAUUUUAUAUCCUUUUCUUUCGAAAGAAAUGAUAUGCCAUUAUAUUCUUUAAGAAUCGUGCUAAAUUGUAUUAAUAGUACUGUUACACUUUUUAUUUGAACGGCUGUGUGAGGCUAGCUCGUAAGCAUCUCCUUUUGACUCCAUCUUAAUUCUGACCUUGGAAAUUAGAAAAUUGAUCUCAUGUUUGGGAACUACUAGUGGAUUUUAUCCUUUUGUUUUUAAUUGAAGAAAAACACUUUCUUCAACAAAAAUAAUUAGAGACAUAAAAUUUGUCAAAAUCUCUAGUUAAUUUAAUAAAAUUUUUCAGUUUAAUUGAAUGAAACAAUACAAAUCAAAAUAAAUGGAAAUUAUGGGAAUGCCAAAGAAAAAAAGAAAGAAAUUUAGAAAAAAAAAAAGGACUCAAUUUUUUGCCUUGUUGUGCAUCAUCCGAGCACUCCUAAUUCCAAGUCAGGGUAUACACAAGUCUAAAGUGAAAGUGCAAGUCUCCUCCAUUAUCUUUAGUGGAACAUGAGACUUACUUUGCUGGGUCUUUAGAAUCCUUCUUCAAUCAACAGGUCAACUGAGAGGUCUUGCAAGUUAAACUGGUUUUAAAUCAUACAUAAUAAUGUUGCUCGAUCUCUCCUCCUCAAUCUAAACAAAUAAGAUAAUAAAUCGUUAUCAGUGCAUGUGCUAGCUCCCAUUAAUUAAGUCCAUGUCUACUCCAACCUACUACCUCCUCUCCCUCUUCCUCUUCCUCUUCUUCAACUUCCAUGCUGCCAAUCCUUCUCCUCCUCCUCCUCCUCCAUGCCCUACAGCCCAGAUCUCAUGUGGAGGUAUCACUUGGGCUAUUAAGCCUCCUUUCUUCACAAACAGUGCCACAACUUCAGACCUGCAGUGUCAGAAGCUUCACCUCAUCCAGUGUGUGUAUCAGAGACUACUGGUCCAAUUCUAUGGCACAGGAUUCUUCUAUAUUGUUACAAAUAUCUCAUAUUUUGAUCGGACAAUUCAAGUCGACGAGCUCAACCUUUACCCUAGCACAUGGAAUUCUAACUGUUCCUUCCUCUAUAGUUUCAAGAAUCCCACCCCUAUCAGUAAUCUUAGCCGACUCACUUCGCAUGUAAGCGCCGCCCUCUCAUCGUUCAGCUGCAGUAUGCUGGAGAAUGAAUACAAUAAUUACCAGGACAUCUUCGGCAGUCUCCUUGGUCCUCUUUCUUGCGAGAAUUACACCCUCUUCUUUUCCAAGUAUAUAGAUGCACAAAUUGUUUUCAUGUAAUGUACUUUUAUGAUUACAUUUACAUUACUAAACUAAACGCAUGCUUAAUUUUAUUGUUUGGAAUCUGAUAGAACCAUGCAAUUGAAAAUUAAAGGUUUCGCUCUGAUUUAGGGUCUAAAUAACUAAUCCGUAGUGCAAACUUUUUUUUAUAUAUUUAUCGAUCUGCAGAGAUAGAUAUGAAUUGUCGAUCUCUAUCAUUACGUAUUAAAUAUAAAAAGAAAAAUAGUCGGAUCCAACAUAUCGAAUCUUGAUAGGUGGCAGCAUAUGUAGGGAGUGGCACUAUAAUUUUUUUUUUUUUUUUUUCUCACAAAUGUUGAUUCAUAUAUAUUGCUUUACAUAAUAUCAAGCUUCUAGUUAAGCAUCCAUUGAAUUUGCUAUGGGCAUAAAUUAGUCGGAAUCAAAGCUUAUCUCCACAUGCAGUGGACUAGACAAUCUAUGGGGCCACCAUUAACAAAAGCUUAGUGUGAUUCUUCUAAAUAUCUUUUCAAAAAACAGCUUAAUAUUAUAUAUAAUGAUUGAUAAAUAAAUCAUUCAAAUAGAAGUAGUACAAAGUUCUAAAGAUGCAAAGAAAAAAUAUAUGGGUAAGUAAAAGAUACUCCAAUUUGGUAAUGGACAAUGAGAGAUAGGAAUAUGGUGUGGCUUAAAUGAACCUGCUUUUUAUCCUAUUUCGAGUAAAUCGAAAGCAAAGAAGCCAUCCUAUGGAAAAAGGAAAUUGAUCAUUCAUUAGAAAAAUUAAAGUUCAGAGGGAUGUAAUAAUAAUACGUUUAAGGAAUAUUACAGUGUUUAAGUUACAAAUUUGUACAGAGUAAUCGAGUCACGACGCUGAAAUAAAUAGGAACUAUUACUACAUUUUUUGCACUAUGUUUGGACACUAUUAUUUGAUUCUAAUAUUUGAUUCGAGACCGAAGAGAAAAGGUCUAUAAAGAGAAGUGUAAUUUGUCGGGCUCAAACCAUGCACUGACCCAUGAUGACAAAUUAUCAUAUGCUUUUACCACUAUGGCUACUAAUUAAUGAUUGGCUCUAAUGGAUAAUAAUUGUUAGGGGAUGUUGAUAUGCCGCAUAUAUAUCCGAUUAUACAGUACAACCUAACUACUACUGUUAACAGUGUUACUACGAAUUUUGGAGGAUGGCAUUUACUAUGCAUGAGGAAUUCAAUUAAUACUUUCUUUCUUUCUUUUGUGUCACGCAUCAUUGCAUAUAUAUGUUGAAUAUAUAAAUAUUAAAACUUAUUUUUUGGUAACUCAAGCAUUUACAUAUUAGAAGCAAAAGUUUUGAACUCGAGUUUUGUCAGAUUCUUAACUUUAUUUAGUUUUCUCCCAUUUCAUUCAAAUUUACGUCAUCAACUUAACAUAAAGCCUUUAGUCCAUGCUUGAGGAGCGUGUUGAGCCUAUUUGAAAAAAUCUCGGAUCCAAAUGCAUAGCGCAAUGUUAAAUAUAAAUAUUAUAAAUACUCUUCUCUGGCAACAAUAAUAGGAAUAACUAAUCCAAGUAAAAAAUGAUCGUCUAUUAUUAUACCACCUAUACGUGGCCACACAAGAUACUUAAUCUUUUAUAUAUAUCAACAAAAACAUACAUACAUAUUAAAAGCCAUUUAAUAUAUAUCAAGGAGAAUGAUACAGGAUUGGAAAAAGUAACACAGGAUACAGCACUUUUCUCCGCUUAUUUUAUAACCAUAACCAUUCAUACAUUAUAACAUUAGAACCAGAGACCCAUCACUAUAGCAAAUAUAUAUAUAUAUAUGUCUCCCCAUAGUUUAGCUCGCAUAAACAUAUUUAUUUAUAGCAAAUAUAUAUAUAUGUCUCCCCAUAGUUUAGCUCGCAUGAACAUAUUUAUUUAUGCGCCCUUAUUUGCAUCCGCAGCAACUGCAGUUGCAGUUGGGGCCGCACGUGCUGCUGCACCCUCCUUUGUCACACUCCCCACUCGCCACCUCAAACGAUUCAAAUUUCCUGCAAAUUAAAUUCAAAAAAAAUCUCAUGCAUUUGAUUUGGUACAUAAUAAUUGUUAUCGAAAAUAUACAUCCAAAAAAAGAUAAGUUAAGAAAUAUUAUUAAAACUCUCGGUCACAUAUAUGAUGAAUAUCAGAUAAAUCAUAUUACGUGUAUCGACAGAAAAGAUAACAGAUUAAUUCGAUAAUAAGAUUCAGUACCCCUUCUGGGGAGCAGCAACGAAGAUCAUGGUUUGGGUGGUGACCAUCCCCUCUCCACUCAAAUGAGGGUACAUUUUGCACCUGCAUCCACACAAGAUCAAAAAGGAUAACAAAUUUCAAGUUAUAAUUAAUUAAUUAAGCGUAAAUGCAAAUCUGUUCGUAUAAGAAUAAAUAUUUGCAAACAGACCCUCCGCAUCCGCUGCCACAAUUGCAACCAGAGCCACAACCACAGUUCCCUCCGCAGCAGGACAUUUUCUCUUAAGAGCUUUUGCUUCAGAAUUAAAUAUGAAAACUAUUACAAAGGAUUUGGAUCUCUUAAACUUAAAGCUUGUGUGGAUAUUGAGACCAAGCCAACCUAUUUAUAGAGGAAUAGGAGAGAGAGAGAGAGAAUUGUGAACCGUACACGUGUCAGAAUCUGUCCCUUUAGAAACUAAAAUUAUAAAUGCCCUCAAUAAAUGAUGUUCAAAGGUAUUUAUAUAUCUCUUUGUUUGAGUCCAAAAUUUUUUAACAUGGCAUCGAAAUUUAGUUCACAUAGUUUAAUUUGUUAUCUCAUGCACCUUGAAGGUGAGUUUGCUCUCGUGCUAUGCGUGCGCAUGUUUUGAGUUGAUUCGAAGGUUUUUAAUUAACAUCAAUAAUAAUUUGAUCUCAAAUAUUUAAAAAGACUAAUUGCUUGUUAUAUUAGUGGCAUAUAUUUUCUAUUUAGACUAUGUUUGAUAUUGCAAAAAAUUUAUGUUUGGUGCGGUGAAAAGAUAUAAUAAAAAAAUUAUUAAAUUUUUAUGUCGUCCGAUCAGAAACAGAAAAAAAUAGUUCUCUAUAUGCUUUAGUACCGAUUCUGUUUUGUCAACUAGUAAUAGAUGAGUUUCAAUAUCAAACGGGUCCUUAGGCAAAUAUAUCACAUCUUGAUUUCGAGUUUCUCGUAAUAAGUUUUGUCGUGACCUGAAUUUUCACCUAAAUUUGAUUAGGCAUUAGAGUAUGAAUUGAGCACUCUAAAACCACACCAAAAGAAAGAUUGAAAUAUAAGAAACCAACUUUUCAAAGCAAUAGCAUCAUAAUAAAGGAUCGCUCAAAUCACACUUUUUUUAGAUGCUUUUUUUUUUUUUUCUUUUGCAGCUCAUCUUUAUCAAAGAAUGGAUAUGAGGAGUUAAGGGACCACCACUUUUUUUUUAAAAAAAAAAAAACUAUAGGGUAGGGUUUCCAUAGAAGGAAAAAGGAUCAUGAUAGGGGAGAUCACACAACACCCCACCUCAUGAAAAAUUGUUUACUGCACGAAAUUUACCCGGUGCAAGUAAUAAAUUCUCUUAAGACUUAUUUGGUUUACGAUAUUUAAAUUUUUUAAUUUUUUAAAAUUAUUAUCAUCAAAAUUAUUUUUUUUUUUUUGAGAAAGUAUUAUCCUCAAAAUUAUUACACCAGAGGAAAACUGAAAAGUUCCCUUUUUGGGUAGUCAAAAAAUAGACUUGUGAAAGAGGGCCUAAAUUGUGCUAGGCCCAAUAGGACAAAGCGGGCCUAACAACGGCCCAUGAUUAAAUGGGCCCGAUAACAAAUUUCCGAGCCCAUGUAAUAUUGACACGUGGACUCGUGGGCCCACAUUUCAAUCAACGGCCCGCGCGCACGAUCAACAGCAUCUGACGGUGGAGGUUCCUUCAACAUCGAUGGAGUUUGGUGGGGCCCAACUCACGGCCUACCUAUUUAGAACCCGGCCCAACAAUACAACAUGGAUUCGGCCCGGGCCAAUGCGUAAUAUGCGAUUUUUUUUUUUUUUUUUUUAAUUCUCUCCUCCUAGUUGUUUUCACUGGUAUCUCUCCGACAAGGGAUCGUUCAAAGGAAGGAGCAGUGAAUGAACCCUAAUUUACGUUUUACGGAUUCGUCCUCUCCCCCCCUUUCGUCUGAUGCUCGUCGAGCCCUAACGAUCUGAUCGGCGAUCCCCUUCUCCAGGUUCGAACCCUAAUCCAAUCCGAUUGUACGAUUUCAUAGGGUUUCUCUUUGAUCCCAACGAGCUCAAUCGCUCAUCUAUGCAAAUUUUUGUCCAUUUCUGUGUGCAAUCAUUGUGAUUGUUGGCGCUUUUGUUUGCUGCAGCAGAUAUCGACCUCGUCGUUUAGAUUUUUUAGCUCACGAGGGUUUUUGCGGUGUAAUUGUUGGUGAAAUAGCCGAUGCAUGAUUUUGUAGAUGCCUAAAAGAUGAUGAGCUUAGCUAGGGUUCGUUACAAGGAUUGACAACACAAAACCCUAAUUGUUUUUCCUGAUUAGUGUUUACGAGUAUCGAAUUUAGCACUGGGAAGAUGCUCCUCGGCACAUCCGUUCAGGUUUUUGCAUCUAAACCCUUGUUAGUACCAACACCGUUGACCUCCCCGGCAAGCCAAUUUCAGAACUUUGGCCCUCAUCUUCCCCCAAAACCCUCGAAGAGGAAACUUAUUACUCCGAUAAAGGCAAGUUCUUCUGGUUCUAGCCAUAACCCAUCACCUUCCCGAAAAGGAAACAACCCGCUUACACUCAUUCUCGAUGUGCCGAAGGCUUUGUGGCGGCAGACCUUACAGCCGCUAAGUGAUUUUGGGUUUGGUCGGCAGAGCAUAUGGGAAGGAGGGGUUGGGCUUUUUAUGGUGUCGGGGGCGGCUCUUCUUGCUCUCACUAUAGCAUGGCUAAGAGGAUUUCAGCUGAGAUCGAGGUUCAGGAAAUAUCAGACGGUUUUUGAGUUCUCCCAGGCUUGUGGGAUUUGUGUGGGAACGCCUGUUAGGAUUCGCGGUGUGACGGUGGGAAGUGUGGUUCAGGUUGACUCGUCGCUAAAGAGUGUUGAUGCAAUUGUUGAGGUGAGCGUUUGUACUUUAGAUUCUAUGGAAAAUAAUUUAUUAAUCUAAGUGCAUUUUUUAUGACUAUUCUGGAUAUAUUAUUAACAUAUGAUUUUGCUGUCGAGAAGUUGUUUUAGCGUAGUUAUUCUGCAUUUUCCCAGGACUUGAAUGUGUUCAAUGUUAUGUUGCAGAAGUGUACAUUUCACCUUAUAUCCCCAUUAUUUUACAUAUAGUGGCUACAUUUAACCUUUAUUUUUCCUGCUCAACAUAUUCAACAUUGAGCAGGUGGUGAGGUAGCUUCUUUUUUUUUUUGGUUUUUUGAUUUCAGGUAUUCAUUGAUAUGCAUCAAUUUCGAGAAAAACAUUUGUAGUCAUUAUUGGUGCCUAGGACUUGAAUGUUUUCACUAGUACAUUGCAUAAGUCUGAAGUUAACCUUGCAUGUCCAUGUUUCUUAUUGCUUUAUGGGAGCAGUAAUUCACAAAGAGCGACUGUUAUUUGUUGAAUGAAGAUGUAAACUUUUGAAUGUUAUUUAAUUUUUGUUCUGCAACUUCUGCAGAUGCGUUCCUAGUAAUGCUAAACAUGUAAUUUAAGCAGCGGUUUAUUUCCUUUUUUUCUUUUGUGUUGCUUUCGAAGCUGUUCAGAAGCUUUACCGUUACCAAAGUGGAUGUAACUUGUAAGGAAUGCAAAGCUUGCCAUAUGUUGUGUACAAAUAUUAUGAUAUUGAAGAAGUUGAUAUGCUUUAAUUUUCCAUAUUGAGGAUGAAUAAGGAAUCAUGAAUUCAUGAUUAUUAGAAUUUUUAGAUGCAUAAAUUUAAACCGUCAACAUUUGUCACUUUUUGGUUUUUUAGUUAGGAUAAGAUGGAGCUAGUGUCCCAAUUGAUACUUUAUUUGGCAGGUUGAGGAUGAUAAAUUCAUUGUACCUCGAAAUUCGUUGAUUGAGGUGAAUCAAUCGGGCCUUCUGAUGGAGACUAAAAUUGAUAUUACUUCAAGAGAUCCGCUUCCCACGCCUUCUGUUGGCCCGCUUGACCCAGCUUGUGUUAAAGAAGGUCUUAUCGUCUGCGACAAGGAAAGAAUGAAAGGACAGCAAGGGGUUAGCUUGGAUGAAUUAGUUGGAAUAUUCACCCGUCUUGGACGAGAUAUGGAGGAAAUUGGUGUUACCAGAAGUUAUAGAUUGGCUGAGAAAGUUGCUUCCAUGAUGGAGGAAGCGCAGCCUCUCAUCGCAAAGGUGCGGAGAGUUCUCCAGUUUCUUGGUUCAUCAUAUUUUUGCUUUAUUUUAAACAAUUCAUGCAAACACUAUCUGAACUAUACUUCAUUUUGAAAUGGCUAUAUUUAAACUUACAAGGUAUCGAUUUCAACCUAGCUUCUUCUUUUAUUAGUAUUAUUAUUUUUGUAUUUUUCUUUUUCAAAUUUGUACCUCUCUGUAUUGCUUUCGCUUCCUCUCUGAGAAUUAAAGUACAUUCAGUUCUCCUUUACUGGACUCGAAAUUUUUGUGCAUCUAAACUCCAAUAUUAGAGCCCAAAGAACAUCUGUUUCCUCUUAAUGUCUUCUUUACUUCGUCUGUUACUUUAAUUUUGCUUAGUACGUCUUUUGAAUUCACUCUAAAUCUUUGCAGUUCCUGAAUUUUUUUUUUUUUUAAAGAUUAAAUCAUGUUGAGCUAUAUAACAUGUGUUUGAUACACAUGCUUACAUGCAUAGUAGUUUGCUUUAGUGAUGUAACAGAUUGAAGCCUUAGCUGAAGAUAUUCAACCUUUGCUUGCUGAGGUUCGCGAUAGUGCUCUUCUAAAGGAUGUGGAGAGCUUAACCAAAACUCUAGCCGAAACAACCAAUGAUUUGAGGUCAGUAUUAUAUCUAUGAUAUAUUCAUUAUGUGUAUAACAUUUGAAAAAUAUGGAAGGAAACUUCUUUGCUUGAAAUGUUUUCUAUAUGUGUUAUCGUACAGAAAGGUGCAAUCUUCCAUUCUUACCCCCGAGAAUUCUGAUCUGGUUAGGCAGUCUAUUUUCGCCCUUAUAUUCACACUGAAAAACAUCGAGGUUAGCUGUUUUACUUUUUUUUUUUCCAACGUCAAAAUAGAAGCAAAAUUUUAUCAAAUUCUUACCGAGUUCAUAAUAAUCAUAGAGUAUCACCUCCGAUGUAUCUGGUUUCACGGGUGAUGAGGCUACAAGGCGGAACUUGAAGCUGCUUAUUAAGUCUCUCAGCAGACUUCUGUAGUCAUUGCAGGUUAGUCAAUCUAUGAAGCAGUGAACGAUUUUGUGAAGUGAUACCUCAGAUAUAUUUUUUAUUUUCAAUUGAAGAUAAGGGUAAUUAUUUUCAGAUUGUUUCUUCGUUAAAUUUUGUACUUAAAUGUGUUCUUUCAUAUUGUUUUCUUUAGAAGAUUUCCAUGCAUCUAAGCCCCAUGAAAUCAAGCGCUGUGUUGCUUAUGCUGUUUAAGCUUUUGCCGAGAGAAUUCGGUAUAAUAAGUUUCAUACAGAUUUUGCUUUGGGAUGCUCUGAUCGAGAGCGCCGUGGACCGAUGAAUCAUUUUGUUUGUUUUUAAAGUCAAUCUUUUGUUGCGAAGAAAUAUUUAGCUGUAAAUUUAAAGCAUUUUUGUGGGGUUGGGGCAUCCUAACUGUUUGAUUUUGGUUUUGUUUGGCUCAUCAGAGGACGUUUGAUCGAUCUGUUUGUGAUGGAUAUCAAUCAUUCUGUGCGUGUUCGUGAAGUAAAAGUGUGAUAAUGUAUUGUAUGUCAGAGUUUUAGGGCCCAUUUUGUGGGGUCCAUUUCGUCGCAUUCGGCCCGAUUUUUUUAGAGUCGGGCCCGAAAGGUAUCUUUCGGGUCCAGUACGACUCGACUGGGCCUCUGGACCAAAUGUAACACUGCGCACGUGACCGGCACGUGCUUCGUUAAUAACUCGGCUAGAUAAUAUUUUUCCUUGUUCAAUAAUAAAUCGACUAUUGGAAAAAAAAAAAAAAAAUUGGAUUGUUGAAUUCUCUUUUCUAUGAAAAUGUUUCUUAUUACGGUCUAUUUGGUUGACGGUAUUUUUUAAAAGGCCUAGAGAUGGGGCGGCUGAUUGCGAAAUUUUAUAUUUCUUUUAUCACAGAAAUUUAACAUAGCAUGAAUUAAAAUUUUUUGCGUAUACAAUCCGUUAAAUCUUGAGAUUUGAAAAUUCACUUCUUUCCUCGAUAAAUAAAGUUAUGAAUACUUUAAAAUUUAUAAAUAAUUAAAUAUGUUAUAUUUGCAUACUCAUGCUUACUAUAUCACUAAUUUUGUGUAAAAGGAUUUUAUUAUUCUAGUCUCUAUAAAGAAAAAGAUGUAGUAGUAAUUCUACUGUGAAAUUUAAGUUUCGUGAGCCAAGCAUGUCCUGACAUAUUGAGCAAUCCAAACUAGUUUGAUUUACUUCCUUUGUGCAAACAAAAUUAACUACUUAAAUAACGAUCUACAAUCUUUGGCUAUAAUUUAAAUUCUAAAACUCUUUAUUUUUUGGAAGCUAUUCAACGUAAAAUCACCCAUUCUAAGUUUACUUUAGAGCCAGAAUUAUUAUUUUUUUACAUAUAAAUAAAUAACAAGUUGAUUUUAUAAAAUUUCAAUGUUUCAUUUCAUCUUUAAACAACCAUAAAUUUGGACCUUUGAACAUAAAAAAUGACAUGAAAAUUUGGUCGAAAAAAAAAUCGUAUUUCCUAUCAAUUAACAAUUUAGGCCGGGGAAAAAGCCCAUAUACACAGUCCAGUAGUCAAUAGAUUCGGGCCCAAAUCGAUAGGAUCGAGCGUUGGUCCUGUAUUGGGCCGGGCCAUAUUUUUAUAGGUAGUUCAAAGCAGGCCUAUAUUGCCACGGGAGUCCGCUCACCGCCAAGUGAGCUCACCCCCUAUUCAAUUUCAUCUCUUUUGAUGCAAAAUAAUUUUUUUGGCGGAGUUUUAAUAAAAACACUACGAGGUUACGCUUACCGUGCGGUGACCGUAUCGCCGAGUGGUCUACAGUUCCGUUUGAGUUCGACUCACCGCGCCUCGGCUCGAGUGAGCUGAGACCCAAAAUAACCAUUUUAAUUUUAAAAUUUUUUAAGCCAUGUUUAUUUUAACUUUUUUAACAAAGUUUCCUAAUAGUAUGCUACUUUAAAUCAGCCAUGUAUCUUAUAAUUUUGUUAAUUUCAAUUAGCAUUUGAAUGAAAUUUACGAGUCGGUCAUUCUUAAAAUAUUUUUAUUCAAAAUUCAAAAUUUUUUUAAUAUUUUUUAUAAUAAAAUAUUUUCUUAUUGCAGCGCAAAUUUUCUUCCUCAUCACAUCACAUGAUGUAAACAAUUAAAUUGUAGAUUUUACUAGUGCUACCGAACGGUUGACAAACUUCUUCAUUUUAAUAAUUUUUAACAUAAUUUAAGGAAUAAUAUGAAAGGACAAAUAAUCUUCAUUAAAAGCCUCACCAUCUUGCAAGGCAUCAUCACACGAAAGAGAUUAACAUUAAUUAGUAAAACAAGUAAUUUUAUUAUAAAAUUUAAGUUUCGUGCGCUAUAUGAUAUUGAGCAAUCCAAACUUUCUUUCUGCAAACAAAAUUAACUAUUUAAAUUACGAUCUACGAUCUUUCGUUACAAUUUAAAAAUUUGUAAUUCUUACUUUUUGAAAGCUAUUCGAUGUAACAAUCCGUUCUAACUUUACUUUUGAGCUCGAAUUCUUUUUUUUUUUUUUAUAAAUAAUGAGUUGAUUUUAUUUUCAAUUUGUUUCAUAUCAUCUUUGAGCAAUGGUAAAUAUAGACCCUUUAUUAUGAAAAAUGAGACGAAAAUUUGCGUAAAAAUAUCGUAAAUUUUUUUUUUUUUAACUCCUAUCAAUUAGGAUUUGGGCCGGAGAAAAGCCCACGCACGGUCCAGUAGUUAAUAGAUUUAGCCCAAAUCGGUUAGUAUCGAGUUUUUGUCGCAUAUUGGGCCGGGAUAUAUUUGUCAUGAGUCCAGUCACCGCCCAGUGAGCUUACUGCCCCUGCAGUUUCGUCUCUUUCUCUGUAAAAUAAUUUUUUGGUGGAGUUUUCGUCAGAAAACCCCGAGGUUAAAAUUACCGCGCGGUGAGCGUAUCGCUGUUGGCAGUUCGAGGAGCCGGAAUUCAAAAUAACCAUUUUAAUUUUAAUUUUAAUUUUAAUUUUUUACCCAAAAUAAUCAUUUUGACUUUAGAAUUUUUUUAGUCAUUUAUAUUUUAUUUUAUUUUUUUUAACAAAAUUUUCAAGUUGUAUGUGACUUUAAAUCAACCAUUUAUCUAAUACUUUUGUUAAUAUAUAUAUAUAUAGUAAGGUUAUUGUACUCUUAUGAAUAUAUAACUAUUUAUACUCAUAAAUUGCUGUUGUACUUUUAUGAAUAUAGACCUCUUUAUACUCAUAAAUUUUCAACCGUUGGAUGAAAAAAUAUGUGGCUAGGAUGAUAGUGAUCCUCUAAGGUUGAAUGGGUGGUUAGUUGAAUAGUAUAAUCUAACGGAUGGAAAUAAUCAAAGAAGUAGAUCUAACGGCUAAAAAUUUAUGAAUACAAAAAAAUCUAACUCAUAUGAAUAUAAUAGCCGGACUAUAUAUAUAUAUAUAGUCCCAUCAUUUUGAGGCUACUCGUUCACUAGACAAACGAAAUCAAAAAAUUAUGAAAAUUAGUUUCUAGAUAGUUCCAAUAGCGUAGAUCAAGUUAACGAAACCGAUCGCCGAAUCGGAUGUCCCAUCAUCGAAAACAACUUACAAGCACGGGGCCUCCCAUACUUUCGAAAGCAUAGGAGCCUAACUCUAUAUAUAUAUAUAUAUAGUGGGCUGGUAUGCUUAUGGAAGCACGGAGCCAUCCGUACUUCCAAGUUGUUUUCGAUGUUCGGACUUUCGAAUCGACGAUCGGCUCCGUUAGAGUUGAUCUAGAGUAUUUGAAGUAUCUAGAAAAUAAAUUUUGUGAUUUUUCGAUAUCAUUUGCCUAGUGAUCGAAGGGGCACAAAAUCAAUAAUUUUAAGGGCCGUGGUGAGCCGGGUUGUAAGUUUAACGGUGCAGAAAUAUCCAAAUCAUAUGAAAUUUUGAUAGAAAAUUCUUUAUACCAUAUAAAACAAGAUCAAUAAUUUUGAUCUAAAAUUUUAAUGUCAUAUCAUCAUAUUUUGUAAGAUUUUUAUUUUCAGCCGUUGAUUUUGAGCCACUUCGAUCACUAGGCAAAUGAUAUCGAAAAAUUACAAAAUUUAUUUUCUAAAUACUUCAAAUACUCAAGAUCAAGUCUAACGGAGCCGAUCGUCGAUUCGAAAGUCCGAACAUCGAAAACAACUUGGAAGCACGGAGGGCUCCGUGCUUCCAUAAGCAUACCAGCCCACUCUAUAUAUAUAUAUAUAUAUAUAUAUAUAUAUAUAUAUAUAUAUAUAUAUAUAUAUAUAUAUAUAUAUAUAACAUCGAGUGCUUAGUACUAUUAAUAGUAUAAUAGCCUAAUUCUCAAAAUAGUUUUAUUCAAAAUUCAUAACUCUCGAAUGUUUUUUCACUUUAAAAUAUUUUUUAUGGCAGCGUAAUUGUGCUUCCUCAUCCCAUGAAGUUAAACAAUCUACAAAAAAGAAGGGCUAAUCAACUAUCCUAAAAGUACGUUCCGAUAGGAAUGACGUAUCCAUCGUACUUAAGUGGUCAAUCACAAUGCUCACGAAUUUCGACCUGGCUAAACUCAUCUGGACGUUAGAUCUAUUGUUUGAUCUCUCGCCGUUAUGUUUCUUGUAGACUGUAGCCCCACUCAACUUAUUAAAUCCAUCCAGCUCAACUUAUUAGCCUCCUGGGUCUAUUGUCACGAGAUUAAACUUAUUUUAGCCCAAUAAUAAAUAGCCAACAAGAUUAAAGCAUGGUAUGUUUCCAUUUAGAUCGCCACCCCACCACCUCUUCUAAACAUUCAAUUGUACAGAUUCAAAAUAGAAACACCAUAGUUUUUUGUUAUACCAUAGUUUUUCUUUGUACCAUAGAAACACCAUAGUUUUCUAUCAACUGAAAAUAUGUUUUAAAAAAAAUUGAUUUUACUUAAUCGUUGUUAAAUCUAAAAAAAAUUAUUUGGUUGAUGAAAAUAACUUAAUUAACAAAUUUUUUUUAAAAAAAUCAAAGUUGAUAGGUAUCAAUCCCAAAAAAAAAAAAAAAACCCACUAGUUGAGGGGUCCUAUUCCAACAUGGCGAGGGUCCCUAUUCAUCUCCAACUGCUUGAAAAAAGAUGAAGUCUUUGUACUAGUAGGUUCCAUCUUAAUUGUUUAUUGGUAAUUCUGAUUCAAUUACGUAACUGCUAUUACAACCAUUGCUCUGAUAUAGAGGGACCAACCUCUAAAUACAGUAUAUCCUUUUUAAGCCCAGAUUCAUAGUUUGCGCUUUGUGCUGGAUACAAGAGAAUUACUUUUAUUCCAGAGAAAACUCNNNNNNNNNNNNNNNNNNNNNNNNNNNNNNNNNNNNNNNNNNNNNNNNNNNNNNNNNNNNNNNNNNNNNNNNNNNNNNNNNNNNNNNNNNNNNNNNNNNNAUGUGUGGUUGGUAAACAAGGAUCGAUUUUUUAGCAAGGUACGAAAUGUAUCGUCAAAUAUUCAAUACGAUUCCACAAGAUCUAGUUUCGUUCAAGUAACGGAUUCUAGCCAAUUGAAAGGAUCUUCUGAUCAAUUCAGAGAUCAUUUCGAUUCCAUUAGUAAUGAGGAUUCGGAAUAUCACACAUUGAUCAAUCAAAGAGAGAUUCAACAACUAAAAGAAAGAUCGAUUCUUUGGGAUCCUUCCUUUCUUCAAACGGAACGAACAGAGAUAGAAUCAGACCAAUUCCCUAAAUGCCUUUCUGGAUAUUCCUCAAUGCCCCGGCUAUUCACGGAACGUGAGAAGCGGAUGAAUAAUCAUCUGCUUCCGGAAGAAAUCGAAGAAUUUCUUGGGAAUCCUACAAGACCCAUUCGUUCUUUUUUCUCUGACAGAUGGUCAGAACUUCAUCUGGGUUCGAAUCCUACUGAGAGGUCCACUAGGGAUCAGAAAUUGUUGAAGAAAGAACAAGAUGUUUCUUUUGUCCCUUCCCGGCGAUCGGAAAAUAAAGAAAUAGUUAAUAUAUUCAAGAUAAUUACGUAUUUACAAAAUACCGUCUCAAUUCAUCCUAUUUCAUCAGAUCUGGGAUGUGAUAUGGUUCCGAAGGAUGAAUCGGAUAUGGACAGUUCCAAUAAGAUUUCAUUCUUGAACAAAAAUCCAUUUUUUGAUUUAUUUCAUCUAUUCCAUGACCGGAACAGGGGGGGAUCCACGUUACACCACGAUUUUGAAUCAGAAGAGAGAUUUCAAGAAAUGGCAGAUCUAUUCACUCUAUCAAUAACCGAGCCGGAUCUGGUGUAUCAUAAGGGAUUUGCCUUUUCUAUUGAUUCCUACGGAUUGGAUCAAAAACAAUUCUUGAAUGAGGUAUUCAACUCCAGGGAUGAAUCGAAAAAGAAAUCUUUAUUGGUUCUACCUCCUAUUUUUUAUGAAGAAAAUGAAUCUUUUUAUCGAAGGAUCAGAAAAAAAUGGGUCCGGAUCUCCUGCGGGAAUGAUUUGGAAGAUCCAAAACCAAAAAGAGUGGUAUUUGCUAGCAACAACAUAAUGGAGGCAGUCAAUCAAUAUAGAUUGAUCCGAAAUCUGAUUCAAAUCCAAUAUAGCACCUAUGGGUACAUAAGAAAUGUAUUGAAUCGAUUCUUUUUAAUGAAUAGAUCCGAUCGCAACUUCGAAUAUGGAAUUCAAAGGGAUCAAAUAGGAAAUGAUACUCUGAAUCAUAGAACUAUAAUGAAAUAUACGAUCAACCAACAUUUAUCGAAUUUGAAAAAGAGUCAGAAGAAAUGGUUCGAUCCUCUUAUUUUUCUUUCUCGAACCGAGAGAUCCAUAAAUCGGGAUCCUAAUGCAUAUAGAUACAAAUGGUCCAAUGGGAGCAAGAAUUUCCAGGAGCAUUUGGAACAUUUCGUUUCUGAGCAGAAGAGCCGUUUUCAAGUAGUGUUCGAUCGAUUACGUAUUAAUCAAUAUUCGAUUGAUUGGUCUGAGGUUAUUGACAAAAAAGAUUUGUCUAAGUCACUUCGUUUCUUUUUGUCCAAGUUACUUCUUUUUUUGUCCAAGUUACUUCUCUUUUUGUCUAACUCACUUCCUUUUUUCUUUGUGAGUUUCGAGAAUAUCCCCAUUCAUAGGUCUGAGAUCCACAUCUAUGAAUUGAAAGGUCCGAACGAUCAACUCUGCAAUCAGUUGUUAGAAUCAAUAGGUCUUCAAAUCGUUCAUUUGAAAAAAUUGAAACCUUUCUUAUUGGAUGAUCAUAAUACUUCUCAAAAAUCGAAAUUCUUGAUCAAUGGAGGAACAAUAUCACCAUUUUUGUUCAAUAAGAUACCAAAGUGGAUGAUUGACUCAUUCCAUACUAGAAAGAAUCGCAGGAAAUCUUUUGAUAACACGGAUUCCUAUUUCUCAAUGAUAUCCCACGAUCAAGACAAUUGGCUGAAUCCCGUGAAACCAUUUCAUAGAAGUUCAUUGAUAUCUUCUUUUUAUAAAGCACAUAUACGAAGUUGUCCUUAGUGUUUGUCCUUAGUGUGUUCCCAUCUAACUAUGUUAUAUUUGGAGACCAUUUUACGGGGGGGCAUUGGGUCGUCUAUUUCAUGUAAUGUGUCAGGCAAAAUCCCUAACCGCUGAAUGGGUAAGUCACUGAAACCGUGACCUGCAAGGGUUUUGUUUUAACCAUGAUAGCCCAGCCCACUUAAGUUAUUAUCUGCGGACCACCGUAAGGUCGGAAGGAAGAGGAAAGUCCUGGAUAGGCUUUCUCUUAGGUCAUGAAGAACCAGCACUUAUAGACUUAUCCCGCUUGGCGGGGCACCUAUAGAAACGAAGCCUUGUUUUGUUAAUCUUAAUCCGAACCAGUUGACCUUACACAUAAUAGGUAUAUCCUCUAGAAGGUUAACUCUUCUAGGUAGCUGGACUCUGCUUCUCUUUCCAGAUAGAUAAAAUAAAUCAAUAAGUCAAUUUGGUUACUAAGCAAUAAUCUCGUCUAUCGUUGUUGGUAAAGUAGGCUGUACGCAUAAAAACUAAAAGGUUACCUAAAUGUAGAAAGUAAUUACCUUUAAAAAACUACAUCACUCAUUAUCGAGACCAACAAGCGACAAGUUCUUAAGAACAAAUCCGUCAAGUAUGGUAGGUAUGUAUCACAAAACUAGAUUCUAAAUUUAAGAAGAUACAAAGUCGUCAUCGUAUAACAAGGUACCUCGAUUCCAGGUUUUAUACCUUCUUUGUCCACAAAGGUGCUGAGAUGGUGGGUCAGUUAAGGCAAGGUGAAUUAGGGAUAAAGUACCGGUGUAUAGAAAGGCCGAUUCAUUACCCUUUGGAAAGAGGACAAUGUACUUAGGUUAAAAGUAAAGUAGGCCCUUUUCGGUAGAAAAAGAGUUGUUACAGAAACAGUAAACUAGGUUAUCGCAAGGCAAUCUAUCCUUGUCUAAACUAUUUAUGACUAUUGAGAGCCUACCUCAUAAUCUUGCCUUUUUAGGUAAUCUAUUACUUGAUAACCAAGAUUCGGUAGAGACCGCUACUUAGUUGUUAAGCUUCACGAAAAGAACGCAUAAGAACUAUUUGGUCGCAAAUAUAUAUCUACAUCCUCCUAGGCAAACCCUUCAUUCUUCGGGGAAACUGUAGAGAAGUAGACGUUUCUUAAGAGCUACACUUUUGUGUCUCUGUUUCCCGACUAGAAACUUAUCCUUUUUCUCACCUAGGCGUCCCAGGGUUUACUUAACCGAAUAAGCUUUUUUCGGAACAAGAAACCUUCUAGAUAGAGCACAGACCAUGACGUGCCAAGGUGAGACGUUCUUGAGGCUUAGUAAGCGAACUUCGAGUAGGAAAAGUAGUAUUUACUAGGCGAACGGGGCUUUACUGGACCGGGUUAUCCCUUUAGGGUUAAGUAACCCGGAAAGCUAUGUUAGUUUAUCUUUCGGGGUUCCCGCGGUAUAAGAUCCUCGGGUUUGAUACACUAACUUAUUUAGGAGGAGAUAGACAACGCCCAGCUCCUGAGGAAGAGGAAGGGGAAGAAGUUUGAGGCUAAGCAUAAAAAGUAUCUCUUUAGAGACUAGUUGCUAUCUUGUUCUAGGUAAAACGUAGUAUAUAUUCCCUAAGGAACCAAGCCUGGCUUCUUCGUUACAGUGAGCUAGUAAUAGUUUGACUGACGUUAGAAAAAGACAGGCACUCCUAGGGUGGUCUCGCGGAAGAUGAAGAUUAUCCGGUACUUGAUCUAGUCUUAGUAAGAGUUGCUUAGGUAUUCUUCACUAGGGUAAAAAAAGUAGCCCAGGCCCAUCUCUGGUUUCCAGAACUCGCUGGCUAGGCCGUCUUGUUGAGUUUUCUAUUUCUUCAUAGCAAUUAAAGAAGUACGAGCAAGGUUCAAGCUUCAUGGUAAACAUGUUUAUUCUUAGGGGAAGCAAUGUACUAAAGAAGAAGUAUAUCUAUCUAUAUCCUAGAUACCCCGUUAAUGAAUCUUCAUGUAAAACACGUUGUCGGGAAGGAUAGACUAUCUUUUCCUAGGGUACUAGGACUUGGCUAGAAUGGACCCUAGCGUUUAGGGUUCAAACAGAUACUUCUCGUCUAGAUUAACAUAAUCACAGAUAUUAACUAAAGAAGACACAUUAUGAUUAGCUAUCCCGGAGUAACCAUUCACGAUGUUCUAGAGCACGUAACCUUGGGUACCAAUACCUGAGCUUAGGUAAUCAUACCUUGUAAAAGAAAAGGUUCACUUUAGGGGAUCAUAUACUUUCUCACUUUUUCACGAAAGCAACAACACCUUAUUCUUCGGAAGCAUAGAAUUACGUACAUAAAUUAAAUAAGCCCCGAUAAUCUCGCCCUAGGUGAAAAAACCCUUAUACUCAGCUUCGUUAUUGUUCUUAUAAAGAUCACCUUGUAGAAAGUGUUAGGGACCUCUCUCUCAAGUGAUUAUCUGGCUCCCUAUUCAUUAAGCUGAGUAAGUGUAGGUCUAGUACUUACAAACCUUAGGUAUAAUACGUUCCUCUGUAACGAAAACGAUUAAGCUUAACUUCCCACUAUAUUUUAGCCAGAUAAAGGCUGUAGUAUAGGUAUCAAUCGCGUAAGUAGUAUCAAUCUUCGAGGUCGAGGCAUAGUUCAAGUGCUAGCUAUAGCAGUGAUAGUAGUUAUAGCAAUGAUCGUAGUUAUAGCAGUGAUCGUAGUUAUAGCAGUGAUCGUAGUUAUAGCUAUAGUAGUUAUUUUUUUGGAAAUCCGAACAAUAGGUCCUUGAACAAGUCUUUAUGACAUUACUUUCCUUGUAUCCUCAAACAGCGAUCCAUAAACUGGUUUAUCCUAGCAGGCCAAGGAUAUCUUGGAUAGUGAUUUUAUGGGGAUCUCCCCCUAUCCCGAUUCGCCUCGCUUUUCCCAAAAGGUACUCUGCCCUUUACUUUUGAUAAUCGGGGUGUGCUUCAAACACUUAUUCACUAACAGACUAUUACUCGUUCCUUAUAGGCAGAAAGAUGAUUUGUCCUACAUAACUUGAGUAUUAAGUAAUCUAUGAAAAAUACUUACAGUUGAUUCAUAGCAUUCAUUUAACAAGGGCCAACAAGUUAGUAAACUAUUGGUCUCAGUAAGAAACUAUUUACUAGUGAUACUCAGUCUGAGUUAUCUUAAACUAGUUAGGAAAAAAGACGGCAAUUCCACCUCUUGACUUGGUUCUUAAGAGAAAGAAAUAGUAGUUAGCUUAGUGACAAGCGCUGGGUCCUAAGAUAAAAUAGUAGUUAGGUUAGUGGCGAGUGCAAAAAAGAAAAAGAAUAGUUACUUAUCUAGAGAAAUGAACAUACUGAAUCUACAGAGCAUAAAGAGCUUUUUCACUAAGCUAACUACCCUAAACCAUACUAUGAAUACUCUAGCUACUAUAGCUACUUUAACUAUAAGUUUAUAAAGAAGAAUCUUGCAUAACUAAACUGGGGUAUUCGCCCUAGUGAUGGGGUAUCGUACAACGGCGGUCUUGGGGCAUAAAGAAGAUCUCUUAGAGGAUUAACAAGGUCUCGUUGAUCUUUCUCUAAGAAAUUGGUCUUUCUUAAGUCAAGUCUACAUCCUAUGGAUAGGUCUUCAAAAGCGUUGAGUUAGUACAUACUACCUUAGUAGUUUCUAAACUGGAAAAGCUUGAGACAGACAUUGAGUGAUAUCCGAGCCCUUUGUUUCUCUUCUACACAUGCUUGCUCUAUAGGUCGUUGUUCUUCUUCCUUUUCCUAACUUAUCUCCUUGAGGGCUUGUAAACCGCUAGAGUCUACACAGCUAUAGUUACCACUGAGUAAUAAAGCUACUUAGUAAAGAAGCCUGUCCUCUUCUAAUACAUUUGUGAAUGAGCUUUAGAGUGAAUAGUCUAAGGUAACACCUUCUGUGGUAAAAAAGACUUCUUAAGCGGUACUAUAUAGACUAGGUACGUAUUAUAGUACUUUUUACCUAUGUUUAAAAACUGACGAUGAAUCAUAGCCGUUAUCCAGACUUUUUCAUAGAUUUUUAUAGUUUAAAUCUAUAAACAUGGGACAGCUUCAUUCCUUGGUACCGUAUAUACAAACCUGAUCUAAGGUAAAACUCUCUCAACUUUUUCGUGAUAGAGCAACUUUCCAAGAUAGGUAGACGGGAAAGAGUUGUGUAAAGAAAUCUGUUUCUGAGGCAAAAAAGGAGAAAAGCCUACCAUUUAUAAAGAGUCUUGUACCUCACACUUAGUUUGGGUACAAACUUAACUUUAACUCUAUGACUACGUUCAAGAAGAGAAGACUUAGUCUAUCUAAGUAUAGACUUUCUCCAACUGUUAUUCAAGAAAGUUUUAACUGAUAAACAGGGAGACAAUCUCCACAAGGUCUUUACAGACGUUAGCUCAUUUAUCGAGAUGCUUGAUUACCUAGCCUAGCUUAACGUUUUACCUUUCUAAACAUGUUCAAUAUGGAAAGCAGUGGUGAAACACCUUUUAGCAAUCUAUACUUAUACAAUCUAUGGACACUGAGCUAACCACUUCCACUUUAUCAUAGAGAGAGGUUUUUUCGUACAAAAAAAAAUGGUGGCGUGUUUCUUUUAUAAAACAACGCUUACUUGUUCUAUAACUCCUUAACAGGUAUGCAUUUUAGUAUUAAUAACUAUGCCCGGAAAAGGUGUAUUUUUCCCUUAGAAAACAAUGUUAUCUUCGUCUUCACUACACCUAAUAAGUUCUUAGCUUCAGCUAANCCUAAUCCCCACACCCCCGCCCCCCCCUCUCUCUCUCUCUCUCUACUCACCUCUUCUGAACAGGGAUAUUAGAAGGGAAAAAUUCAUAGAGUCCCCUAUAGGAGACUGAAAUUUCAUCAAUAGCCCUCCAAAAUUCUAAAUAUCAUGAAUGCCCUUCUAAAUCUAACGGAAUAAGGUGUAAAUACCAUUUCUACCCUUGCACUGCACUGCUCCUUAACUAUAUGAUAGUUUUAUAGAUGCCCUUCUAGAAUCUGUUAAUUUCAUCAAUACCUUUCUAAAAUUGAUAAUUUCACGAAUACUCUCCAACAUAUUAAAAAUUAUCACAAAUGCCCUCCACUAGUUAAUAUCCGUUAAAAUCAUCUGAAAUAGAGUUAAAUUUUUAAAAUAUCAUUUUUACCCUUUAUCUCUUAUCAAUAAUAGAAACAAUAAAAGGUAUUUCAAGAUAAUUUUUGUAAAUCUAAAUUUGACUAUUUAAUAUAUAAAUAUUAAAUUAAUUUUUAAAUGAUAUAUAAAAAUUGUAUUUUAUAUAUAGUAUGUUUUUAUAUAAUUUUGGUUUUGUUUUUGGCUUCGGGUUUUGCUUCAGAUUCGAUUUGGAUAUAGACCAAAAUCAUAACUAAAUUUAAAUACGAUGAGAGUUCAUUUUUUUGUACUUAUAAUUGAAACUAUCCCACUCAGCAUCAAUUAAGCUGGUGCCCAUUCAAAAUUAAGUUCAGAUAAAAUUGUAUACCUGUAUCAUUUCACAUUCUUAAUCAGUAAUAGUAAUUUGAAAUAAAUUAUAGAUUUUUAUGUUUUUCCUAUUUAAUCAAAAAUAAAUCACAUAACUAUAUCAAUAUGCAUGCUUUUUUUAUCGAUUUUAAAAAAAAAGAGAGUUUUGUUCAAAAGCUUAAAUAUAUUAUAUUUCAGUUUUUAAUGCAUUUAAUGUAGAUAAAAUUAUUGAGAAUAAUUUAAGCUUCCAAGAUUAAAGAAAGAUCGAAAAAUCCUCAACAUUUAUUUUUAUUUAAUUUUUUAUACAUAGUUAAAAUAAAUGGAGCCACUAGAUUUGGUGAAAUCAUAAAAACCUUGAUAAAAUUUUUAUUUUUCAUACACUAAAAUUAGUUAAUUUUGUAAAAAACUAAAAGUUAAUGGGAUGUUAACUAAAAAAAUAAAAGUUGAGGGAGCCGUUUCAAAACGGCAAAUAGUUGAGGGGUCUCCAUACAUUUUUAUUGGAAAAGUCUAGAUGGACUCCCGGUUGAAGGUGUACAUCCUACACCUUUGGGAUCCGACGGCUGAUAUUUAGGCACUACACAUUUAUUUUAUUUUUUUUCAAAAGCAUAAUUUUUUCAGCCUUUAGAUAAGUGGGUUGUAGGAUGUACAACCCUAAGUGGGUUGUACCAGUAGCACCACUCAUUUUUAUUAAAGAGAUAGUUGAGGGUAAAUAGGUCAUUUUAAAAGUUAACCCAUCUUUAACCAUUUAACAACUAUGGUAAAGGUAAUAUAACUAACGGUAGGGAUAUUGGUGAUACUUUUUUAUAUUUAUAGGGGCAUAUAUGAUAUUUUAAAC